This 1277-nucleotide ribosomal RNA is filed under the name uncultured bacterium. Its description in RNAcentral is "bacterial SSU rRNA". It matches the Rfam family "Bacterial small subunit ribosomal RNA", at positions 28 to 1289 of the family's 1533-position model. The record is from RNAcentral.
GACGAACGCUGGCGGCGUGCCUAAUACAUGCAAGUAGAACGCUGAAGAGAGGAGCUUGCUCUUCUUGGAUGAGUUGCGAACGGGUGAGUAACGCGUAGGUAACCUGCCUUGUAGCGGGGGAUAACUAUUGGAAACGAUAGCUAAUACCGCAUAACAAUGGAUGACACAUGUCAUUUAUUUGAAAGGGGCAAUUGCUCCACUACAAGAUGGACCUGCGUUGUAUUAGCUAGUAGGUGAGGUAACGGCUCACCUAGGCGACGAUACAUAGCCGACCUGAGAGGGUGAUCGGCCACACUGGGACUGAGACACGGCCCAGACUCCUACGGGAGGCAGCAGUAGGGAAUCUUCGGCAAUGGGGGCAACCCUGACCGAGCAACGCCGCGUGAGUGAAGAAGGUUUUCGGAUCGUAAAGCUCUGUUGUAAGUCAAGAACGAGUGUGAGAGUGGAAGGUUCACACUGUGACGGUAGCUUACCAGAAAGGGACGGCUAACUACGUGCCAGCAGCCGCGGUAAUACGUAGGUCCCGAGCGUUGUCCGGAUUUAUUGGGCGUAAAGCGAGCGCAGGCGGUUUGAUAAGUCUGAAGUUAAAGGCUGUGGCUCAACCAUAGUUCGCUUUGGAAACUGUCAAACUUGAGUGCAGAAGGGGAGAGUGGAAUUCCAUGUGUAGCGGUGAAAUGCGUAGAUAUAUGGAGGAACACCGGUGGCGAAAGCGGCUCUCUGGUCUGUAACUGACGCUGAGGCUCGAAAGCGUGGGGAGCGAACAGGAUUAGAUACCCUGGUAGUCCACGCCGUAAACGAUGAGUGCUAGGUGUUGGAUCCUUUCCGGGAUUCAGUGCCGCAGCUAACGCAUUAAGCACUCCGCCUGGGGAGUACGACCGCAAGGUUGGAACUCAAAGGAAUUGACGGGGGCCCGCACAAGCGGUGGAGCAUGUGGUUUAAUUCGAAGCAACGCGAAGAACCUUACCAGGUCUUGACAUCCCGAUGCUAUUUCUAGAGAUAGAAAGUUACUUCGGUACAUCGGUGACAGGUGGUGCAUGGUUGUCGUCAGCUCGUGUCGUGAGAUGUUGGGUUAAGUCCCGCAACGAGCGCAACCCCUAUUGUUAGUUGCCAUCAUUCAGUUGGGCACUCUAGCGAGACUGCCGGUAAUAAACCGGAGGAAGGUGGGGAUGACGUCAAAUCAUCAUGCCCCUUAUGACCUGGGCUACACACGUGCUACAAUGGUUGGUACAACGAGUUGCGAGUCGGUGACGGCAAGCUAAUCUCUUAAAGCCAAUCUC